UUAUGGCCAUAUCACAUUGAAACACCAGUUCUCAUAUGAUCACAUAAGUUAAGCAGCAUCAAGUCUGGUCAGUACCUAGAUGGGUGACUGCUUCGGCAUACCAGGUGCCGUAAG
This is a non-coding RNA of Acanthosepion pharaonis, 114 nucleotides long. Lineage: Eukaryota; Metazoa; Mollusca; Cephalopoda; Sepiida; Sepiidae. The record is from the annotation of a GenBank genome assembly.